GGGACAACCCGCCGAAAGGCGGGCUAAACCCGCGUACAUGCCACCGGGGCAUCCCGGAGGCAGGAAAGGCUUCGGCCGGACAGGGAUGGGCAUGCGGCGCAUUAGGCAGUAGGCGGGGUAACGGCCCACCUAACCGACGAUGCGUAGGGGUUCUGAGAGGAAGGUCCCCCACACUGGUACUGAGACACGGACCAGACUCCUACGGGAGGCAGCAGUGAGGAAUAUUGGUCAAUGGUCGGGAGACUGAACCAGCCAAGCCGCGUGAGGGAGGAAGGUACAGAGUAUCGUAAACCUCUUUUGUCAGGGAACAAAGACUGGGACGCGUCCCCGGAUGAGUGUACCUGAAGAAAAAGCAUCGGCUAACUCCGUGCCAGCAGCCGCGGUAAUACGGAGGAUGCGAGCGUUAUCCGGAUUUAUUGGGUUUAAAGGGUGCGCAGGCGGUCUGUUAAGUCAGCGGUCAAAGCCCGGGGCUCAACCCCGGCCCGCCGUUGAAACUGGCAGUCUCGAGUUGGAGAGAAGUAUGCGGAAUGCGCGGUGUAGCGGUGAAAUGCAUAGAUAUCGCGCAGAACUCCGGUUGCGAAGGCAGCAUGCCGGCUCCACACUGACGCUGAGGCACGAAAGCGUGGGUAUCGAACAGGAUUAGAUACCCUGGUAGUCCACGCAGUAAAC
This 669-nucleotide ribosomal RNA is filed under the name uncultured bacterium. Its description in RNAcentral is "bacterial SSU rRNA". It matches the Rfam family "Bacterial small subunit ribosomal RNA", at positions 140 to 807 of the family's 1533-position model. The record is from RNAcentral.